UUAUGUACUCUUUGGAGAUCUCCUCUUGCCUUUCUUUCGUGCUGGUGAAUUUCUUAGAUCACCAUGUUGCAUGUUGUAGCCUAGUAGGUAUCAAGCUAAUUCUGUAGACCUUUUCCGUGGUUGAUAUUGUAAGUUAAAUUUCUGUUCAUAAAAAAUGUAGCCAUUAGAUUAACGUUUUUUAUUUUUGUUAAUGCUCUUUUGCAGGGGUCUUGCUCCUCAGAACAAACCAGAAUUGCAGAAGGUGAUGGAAAAAAGAAAACGAGACCAAGUAAUAAAGCAGAAGGAAGAAGAAGCACAGAAGAAGAAAUCCGACUUGGAAAUAGAGCUAUUAAAACGGCAGCAGAAGUUGGAGCAGCUUGAACUUGAGAAGCAGAAAUUGCAAGAAGAGCAAGAAAAUGCCCCCGAGUUUGUGAAGGUGAAAGGCAAUCUUAGGAGAACAGGCCAAGAAGUCGCCCAAGCCCAGGAGUCCUAGGCCGAGGCUGCACCAAGACCUCGUGUGUCACCCCACAGAGCUGUCUGUGGGUGCCUUCUCAAUCUCAGGGCAAAAGCCCCUGGAGAAUGUUCCA
Molecule: small RNA, 566 nt
Filed under: Pongo abelii (Sumatran orangutan)
Lineage: Eukaryota; Metazoa; Chordata; Mammalia; Primates; Hominidae
Description: retained intron
Source: RNAcentral